This 20-nucleotide small nuclear RNA is filed under the name Arabidopsis thaliana (thale cress). RNAcentral describes it as "snRNA_06031". The record is from RNAcentral. Lineage: Eukaryota; Viridiplantae; Streptophyta; Magnoliopsida; Brassicales; Brassicaceae.
GUUGCUGGAUCCAGCGACCA